Non-coding RNA from Podarcis lilfordi (Lilford's wall lizard), 76 nucleotides. NCBI's taxonomy places the organism in Eukaryota, Metazoa, Chordata, Lepidosauria, Squamata, Lacertidae. The record is from the annotation of a GenBank genome assembly.
GUUGGAAAACCUCAGUUGGUAGAACAUGGGACUCUUAAUUUCAAGGCCAUGGGUUUGAGCCCCAUAUUGGGCAACA